Molecule: ribosomal RNA, 363 nt
Filed under: Teratoscincus scincus (Common wonder gecko)
Lineage: Eukaryota; Metazoa; Chordata; Lepidosauria; Squamata; Sphaerodactylidae
Description: partial 12S ribosomal RNA
Rfam family: Bacterial small subunit ribosomal RNA
Source: RNAcentral
UAAACCCAAGCUGCAUCUAAACUUACAGCUCGCCAGAAAACUACAGGUGAAAAACCCAAAACUCAAAGGACUUGACGGUGUCCCACAUCCCCCUAGAGGAGCCUGUCCUAUAAUCGAUACUCCACGCUAUACCUCACCCACUCUUGCAUAUCAGCCUAUAUACCGCCGUCGUCAGCCUACCUCAUGAGAGCAAAGUCGUAGACAAAACAGCCAAAUCGCUAAUACGUCAGGUCAAGGUGUAGCUAAUGGGUGGGAAGAGAUGGGCUACAUUUUCUAAACUAGAAAAUCACCACAGCAGCAUGAAACACCUAGCUAGAAGGCGGAUUUAGCAGUAAACUAGACAAUGAGCUGUCAUCUUGAAAU